Long non-coding RNA from Haliotis rufescens (red abalone), 529 nucleotides. RefSeq lists it as uncharacterized. The transcript has 3 exons. The record is from RefSeq and is a predicted model, not a curated record. Lineage: Eukaryota; Metazoa; Mollusca; Gastropoda; Lepetellida; Haliotidae.
UUUCGGCUGACCUAUCCCUCUUUGGGACUCCGGUGUGUGAGUAGGGUACACAUAUCUAUUAUGCGUCUGCUGUACACGUGGUGUGCUCUGGCCUGUGUGCUACUGUUCACCGGGGAUGCAACUGCCUUUGGGUGGAGACGGAGACAGCACCGGGCCGGGAUCUGUGAUCGCAACCAUUUCGUCAAUGGCUGCACAUUGCCUGUCAAGUGGUUACCCUACAAGAACACGUUCAAAUCUGCUUGUAACAAACAUGAUGUUUGCUAUACAUGUGCUGCAGCUUAUGGAAUAUCAAGGGCAACAUGUGAUUACAAGUUUUACCACAAUAUGAGGGAAAUUUGCGGGAGACGGUGGCUUUGCAAAAAGGCGGCUAAAGCUUAUGUUUGGGGAACGAAGAAAUACGGAAGAAAAUAUUUCCAUCAACGAGCUUCACCCGGCUGCCGUGAUCAUUGGGUGAUACAGUGUCUGUGAUUGUGUGUUAUCACAUCACGCCAUGCAUUUCAUGCAUUCAAUAAAAUGAUAUUGGCAUCAA